UCCACUGAUGAUGAAGAAAAAAAUGAUGCGCCAAGCAAAAAAAAACGUGGUAGGCCGCGGGCCACUCCGAAUGAAGAUAUAAAAAACAUUUUGUCUGUGAAGGUUUAGAAAGUAAUUAUGAGUGCGAGAAGACAAACACAACUAUUUAUAACGGAUAAUUACGACUUCAUAAAUGUUAUAAAAGAUAUCAUGUCACUGCAAAAUAUUGAAUCGAAAAAGUACUGUUAGCACUUUCACGCAGCUUAAAUUUGUAUGUUUAUUUCAAUGAUAUAGCGUGUUUUUAAAUUAUCAGAACACCCUUUCAUAAUACUUUUAUCUAAACUGCUUGUUUAUUUGGAAAAGUCAAUUGUGAAUAUGUUAGAAUUAGACAACAAUGCUAAUUUGUCAUAAUAAUUUGUAUACAUCCGUAUUUAUUUCAGCUAUAUUAUGACAUACUGAUUAGAAAAACAUUGUUAGACUAUAAUAAGAUAUUUAUUGAUUAUUGAAUUUUUGAUUCAGUUUGAAUUGUAGAUGCUGUCAGAGAGCAAAGAUGAGUUUUCAGUUUUUUGGAUAUUGAAACUAUAAUAAUGUUAAAUGCACAUUGAAUUAAUAAAAAUGUCAUCUCAUAACUCAGUGUUAUGGCCCUUGAUUAGUAAUGUAGUAUGCAUAUAGAGUAAAAAUCGUUUCCGCACUACUUCUCUGCAACUACUGGCUGGAAUUUAACGAAACUUUAUUUUCAAGACCCAAAAAACGGGGAAGGCCGCGGGCCACGGAAGAUUUUAAAAACUUUACCAAUGCUGAAAUUAAACGUUUUAUUAUGGUUACAAUGUUUAUAUUACAUUUAAAACAACCAAUGAAAUUGAAAAAGAACAGAUAAAACAACCCAAAGCCAAAAACGACACUUAAAAGCUGAGAUAUAUUGAUAGUAGCAAUAAAUGCGACAAAAAUUAUAGAGGAACUGACAGUGACAAUUUUCCUCUUAGCCACUUAAUUCAAAAGAGAAAAUUGUUUGACAUGGAUGCCUCUGAUAGCAAUAGUGGUUUAGAUAAAACAUACAUACCUUCCUCAAAAGCUCAUAAUUUAACUGAUUCCGAAUAUUCGUCCGAUGCACAAGAAACCACAAAGAAAGACCGGAAACAAAAGAAGAAAUUCGAACGUGUGGUGGAAAAGCACUUAAAAAACAAACAGCGUACUAAAUUUCCUAAGCAACAAGAAGAGAUGGUAUAUAAAAAGAGCUCAUCAACAUCUGUUGACUUUGAAACGGACAAAGCAAAUAGUGCAGCAACAAUUUCAACAAUAAAUGAAAGUAUAAAAGAAACACUCACACGCAAUGCUAGGUUUAGAACAGAGGAAACUAUAAUAGACGCGCUACUCACCAAAAAGCUUUUACGAGAGUCAAAGUACAAGGAUAUGGUAACUGCUCAUUUGAAGCUCAAUUAAAUCAUCUGGGUCAAGUAACUCCGCCCAGGAGCUUAGGCAGUCAAUAUGCUUACAUCUGGAGCAAAACUAGUAUGCAUGUUUUUAUGAAACAAACACAGACCUUAUGAUGGUGAAGCCUUUUGGAAUGAGUAUCUAAAUGAGGUUGAAAAUUUAAAACGCGAAAGAGUUGCUGAUUUUCUAUCACGUGCUUUGGCCAAUCUUGAGAGGAAAUGUGUGAUGAUAUUUACAAACAAAGGUACAACCAACUCUUUUAGCAAGUGAAACAAAUGAAAUCAUAAACCUGGCAUAUACAUCUAUUCUAACAAUUAUUGAACAUUAUGAUGCAUGUAUCAUCAAGGACAUUGCUGACACGCAGAGAACACCUGGGACACUUCUGAGAAUUCAGGGGAAGAACAGAAUGACGAAACACUGUAUGCAAGGCAUGUACCACUUACGUAUAUCUCUACCACACCGCGAAAAUCUGCAACUUAUAAUAGUCCUGUAAAAAGCGUUUAGUAAGGAAACGAAAAGAUAACCCAGAAAAUUGGAAGCAUAGUGUGCCUUAGAUUAAAAAGUAAAUGUAGUUUAAAGGAAUUGAAAUGUAAGAAUAAUGCAAUAAUACUACUGUAAACGAAAUAACUAUGACCAUCCAGUAACAGUGUAUGCUUAAUCAGUAAGUUUUAUCACCUCUGUAGCAACCUUUCUGAUACCAUCCUUCACACACAUAAAGAAAUGUUAUGCUUUGUUUGGUCAAUAUAAAAAUUUGGAAACAAAGCGAUAACUCCUGUUUAAUUUGGUUUAACGCCGCCUUUCCUUGUCGAUCUUGUUUAUCAUAAUUAACGGCCUACCAACACAGUACAAGACAUAACUCGUGCAAUACACCCGGGCUAAUGCAUUGUACAAUGACAGUUUCCCAUUAUUUUAUGCUCAAUUUUAAUCACAUGAAAACUAAAAACUUUAUUAGAUAUAUGUAUCAGAUUCUCAGUUUAUGUUCAUCGUAUAGUUAAUAUUAAUGAUAACUACACAAUGUUAGAAAUUACUGAUACCUACAUAUUGUUAUAACUGCAUUACUACUUGCUUUAUACUGUUAUUAAAAUAUUUAAUUUGGUUGGGUUUUACGGCGGACAAACACAGUAUAGGUCAUAUGGUGACUUUCCAGAUUUACUGUUGGCGACAGACAUAAGAUACCUUUUGAUACCUUAAGUCAGGCAAAUGUUUUACACACAAGUGUAUCAGAAAAACAGAAACGUAAACAGCCGAUAUUAACUAUUUAUUUGUAAAUACGGUUUAAAAAAUGAAGUAAUCAGAUAAAAUGCAAAAUAGAGAGUAAAUGAAACCCUCUUAAUUCUUCUUUGUGGAAAAUAUAUAAGCGAAUAAGAUGAUACUCCUUUGGAUAAUUUAUAGAUAAUAUAUAAAUUAUGAACAAGGCAAGUAUUGUUUUUAAUAUUAUGCAUUUACGGUCAUUACGAACUUUCCGGCGCCAAAUCUUCAGAAUUUUUUAUCACUGCCAGUGUACUAUUCAUUUACAAAUUGAGACUGACCCAAGUAGAAAACAAGGAUGCUACAGACCAAAUUUUAGUUAAAUCUGCCCAGCAGUUUCAGAGAAGAAGAUGAUUGUUGACGCAUGACGACGGACGACGGACGCCGGAGUAUCCCCCUUUGUUACUAAUAGCUCACCCUGAGCCUUCGGCUCUGGUGAGCUGAAAAAAAAGACAAUUUAAGUUCUUAAUUGCAAAUAUAGAAACUUAGGAAUGUAAUGUUCAAAGACAUUUUACACGUGAAAAGAUUCACUCCGAGAGAGACAUAGAUCCGACAUGAGAACACAUUAGUCAAAAUAUGUCGACCCUUCGUGUUUUCGCAUUUUCGCAUUUUGAGGCGAAGACGCGAAAAUAUUUGGAUGGCGUUAAUCAGCCACCAUACAUAAUCCAUUCAAGGCGAAUUUCUCAAGCAUGUCGAAAGGAUGUCCGGAAAUGUAUUAAUAUAAAACGCUGAUAUUUCGUGUGUUGAUAAAAAUACUGUUUAGAUUCUAUAUGGUUUUGAAAAAAAAACUGUUUCUAUGUAACUUUUCACGGAAAUGGGCUGUACAAUGAUUGCGUAAAAACAAUAAAAUGUCGGCUGUAGUAAUCGAAAGGCAUUUUGUCACGUGACUUUUGCCCAUGCUACCGAAAACUACCCAUCACAAUAUCACGGCGUUGAGACGCCGUGAAAUAAAGAUAUAGUUUGUCGAUGACAGAUUAACAGAGUUUGGUUUUACGGCGCACAAACACAAUAAAGGUCAUAUGGUACGAAUAAAAAGAUGAUUUGUCUACUCUCGGGUGUUAAAAUCGUACCUCCACACAAGGGGGUUCAGACUUCAGUAAAUUGACCACAUUAAGUCGCCUCUGGCGAUAACGCACGUUAAAAAAAAGAUGGAUGGAAUACUUAUACCUCAACCUGCUUGCACAGAGCUAAACAUCGGUUUGGUGUGUGCGUCCGUCCGUCCUGUUAUGCUUGUCCGGGAUAUAACUUUACUAUAAUUAAAUGUUGAAUUCUAGCUAAGCCGGUGCUAGGGGCGUGGACGCUACAUUGCACUUUCCAGUACCGUCCAUGAACUGGCUGAAUCAAACCGAGCCUGCAACAGUAUCAAUUUUGUUUAUUACUAUCUAUUUUGUCAUUAGAAGGCAGAAAUUAAAAACAAUUGUAACUUAAUAUGUUCACAAUAUUUGUGUUUGUUUGCAUUUUACGGCACGUCAACACAUAAAUGGCCCUAUCGUGCCGAAUGCUAAAAUAGGCUUUAACUAUAAUGUAAAACGUUGUAAAUAAAAAAAGCUAAUAAGAUCUUUGAAUAAUAAUGAGAAGGCGUGUCAUUCGAAAGAACCGUGUUGCUAAGUAAAAAAUAUGAUAAACAAGAUCAACAAAGAAAGGCGGCGUUCAAUGAACGCAACCCCUAUAUGACUAAGCAACAAGAACCCAUGGCAAGGAGCCCAGGCGGACCCCAAACAUUAAAAGGACAGGGCAAAGACACGUUAAUCAUUAAAUCAUACAUAAUUUGUAACUGAUUAGGAAUUCAAAGAAAGUAAUAAUAGGCCCACAAAGGGGAAGGGGUCAGGAGACCGGGGAAGAGGGGGGGGUGUUAAUGAAAGAAACAAAAACUAGAGGCGAUUGGAAAGAUACUUACCGUAGACGAGAGAAACAACAAGGGACACAAGCAAAGGUGUCACCAAAACAGUAUGAAACAACAAAGACAUACAUCUGAGGAACACAGUGGGGCGCCUUAAAGGUCGUACUUUAAGGUCAAUUUCAAAAGAUUCUCUAACAGCUUGUCUGCACCAAAAUUAUUACUAGCUCGAGGAAUUUCAAGUACCUGGAAUGGUCCACAUCAUGAGAUGGCGUGUCGCUUGCAAGAAUCGUGUGGCUAGGUCAAGGUCAUACGUAAAUGUCAAAUGCCAAAAAAUAGUCUCAUACAGCUUGUCACACAGUAUCUCGAUAACUGGCAGGUGUAGUCUGAUUUUAUUAACCUGUCCAAUAUGAAUACAUUAUAGGACUCAUUUAAAUAUUCGAUCCCACUUCGGUUUGGUCCGUGUAGUUUACAAGAAUUAAUGUGGAGUAGAUAAGUCAUGGAUUUAAAGUCACGCUAGCUUAAUGUGAAGGUUUUUGUUAAUUCACAAUAGCACAGUCGGUAAAGAGAAUGUCUGAUAAUUGAGUGGACUGUGGCUCGUUCCUUACUGUUGCCAUUGUUUUAAUACUCUUUCUUUAUUUUUAAAGUAUAUUUUAAUCGAACAGAUUUGUAGCGUAUUUUUCUGGUUUUUCGGGAUCAUUGAUACCAGCACUAUUAAGUGUUGAGAAUUGAGUACCGCUCAAGCCGGUGCUAGGCAGUAAUAAUUUGUAUGGUCAUAGCUAUAGGCAGGAAUAAUUUGUAUGGUCAUUAAAUUUUCCGGUUUGUUUGGAUUUUACGGCACGUCAACACAUAAAUGGCCAUAUCGUGCCGAAUGCUUUAAUAGGCUUUCACUAUUAUGUAAAACGUUGUAAAUAAAAAUAAAAAAAGAGCCAAACAGAUCUUUGAAUACAAUAGAUAAAUACAGAAUCCCUAAAGAAAGCCCAACACGGCAAAAUUGAAAAUGUUGCAGGCUCGGUUUGAUUGAGCCUGUUCAUGGACGGUAGACAUGGACACAGGAAAGUAUAAAAAAAAUUAACAAAGGGCAAAAACUCCAAAAUUAGGCAAAGCGGAGAUAUGUUUUUUUGCACUGCACUUCUAUUCAAUGAGAUCUAUCUAUCUAUAAAGUUUCCUGAUGAUAUCAGAGUUAAGACAAGUUUCCUGAUGAUAUCAGAGUUAAGACAAGAACCGGUUGAACCGGGUGAUGCUCCCCGAGAAGGUUCUGGACACAGGAAAGUAUAAAAAAAAUUAACAAAGGGCAAAAACUCCAAAAUUAGGCAAAGCGGAGUUAUGUUUUUUUGCACUGCACUUCUAUUCAAUGAGAUCUAUCUAUCUAUAAAGUUUCCUGAUGAUAUCAGAGUUAUGUCCCGGGUAAAAGUCAAAGUGUAAAAAUGAACAAAGGGCAAUAACUCCAAAACUAGACCAGACUUUGUUUAGGUUCUUUAAGCAUUGCAAUUCUAUCCAAUUAUAUCUAACUACCUACAAAGUUUCAUGUUGAUAUUUCUAAUAGUUUUAAAGUAUUGUCCAGGAUAAAAGUCAAAAAGUUAAAAUAAACAAAGGGCAAUUACUUCAAAAUAAGGCAAGGCAGAGUAAUGAUUCUUAAGCACUGCACUAAAAUCCACCCAAUGAGACCUAUCUAUCUACAAAGUUUCAUGUUGAUAUCUCUUAUAAUUUUAGAGUAAUGUCCCAGACAAAUUCAAAGUGUAAAAUAAACAAAGGGGGAUAAUUCAAAAAUAAGGCAAGGCAGAGUUACGGUUCUUGUGCACUGCACACCUACUCAAUGAGAUCUAUCUACCUACAAAGUUUCAUGUUGAUACCUCUUAUACUUUUAGAGUUAUGUCCCGGACAAAUUUCAAAGUGUAAAAUAAACAAAGGGGGGUAAUUCAAAAAUUAGGCAAGGCAGAGUUACGGUUCUUGUGCACUGCACACCUACUCAAUGAGAUCUAUCUACCUACAAAGUUUCAUGUUGAUACCUCUUAUACUUUUAGAGUUAUGUCCCGGACAAAGUUCAAAGUGUAAAA
Long non-coding RNA from Ruditapes philippinarum (Manila clam), 6552 nucleotides. RefSeq lists it as uncharacterized. The record is from RefSeq and is a predicted model, not a curated record. NCBI's taxonomy places the organism in Eukaryota, Metazoa, Mollusca, Bivalvia, Venerida, Veneridae. The transcript has 2 exons.